UUUAGUUCCAGCCCACUGCCUGCGUUGGAAGUCCGAGAGGAAACGAACACAGGGAGUUCUCCGGGAGGCUGACUUACACUUCCUCACGGAUGCGGGAGACUUGGGUUUUCCAAGCUAAAGGUGACAUUUCAUCGUCUCCCAACAUUGUACCUGAUGAUUUGGUGUUUGCAAAGCUGAGCACCGAAUUUCAUGUGUGUGCACUACAAAUUGGAUCUGCAGGUCCAGCCACGUCAGACCCCAUCAGCCACUCUAAUACUGUCUUCAUCCUCUUUUCAUGGAAAUCCUGUGAGUCCUUCAAAACCCAGCAAGCAAGGCCACUCAUCUUCCCUCACUCCCCUGGCGGAAGCAGAGCUCCCUCUUUAGAAGACUUGGUCAUUUGCACAAACCUCCAUUCCAGGACGUGUAAUGGAAUGACAUGUGGUUGUCUGUCUUCUCCCACUGGGCUCUGAACCCUCAUCAUGAUUAACAGGCACAGUUUCUUCAUCGUUGUCAAUGGUACACUGUUUGCACUGGAUCAGCAUCUGGUGACUGAGUUGCAGGCUGUUAAAAGUAAUGCUGUAGAAGAAUUUAGGACACGGAUUCUGUGGCAUCCAGUUGGAAAUGU
Molecule: long non-coding RNA, 604 nt
Filed under: Camelus dromedarius (Arabian camel)
Lineage: Eukaryota; Metazoa; Chordata; Mammalia; Artiodactyla; Camelidae
Description: lncRNA (ENSCDRG00005012177.1)
Source: RNAcentral